RNAcentral lists this ribosomal RNA (373 nucleotides) under uncultured organism. Its description in RNAcentral is "partial 16S ribosomal RNA". It matches the Rfam family "Bacterial small subunit ribosomal RNA", at positions 527 to 896 of the family's 1533-position model. The record is from RNAcentral.
GUAGGUGGCAAGCGUUGUCCGGAAUUAUUGGGCGUAAAGCGCGCGCAGGCGGUCCUUUAAGUCUGAUGUGAAAGCCCACGGCUCAACCGCGGAGGGUCAUUGGAAACUGGGGGACUUGAGUACAGAAGAGGAAAGCGGAAUUCCAAGUGUAGCGGUGAAAUGCGUAGAGAUUUGGAGGAACACCAGUGGCGAAGGCGGCUUUCUGGUCUGUAACUGACGCUGAGGCGCGAAAGCGUGGGGAGCAAACAGGAUUAGAUACCCUGGUAGUCCACGCCGUAAACGAUGAGUGCUAAGUGUUAGGGGGUUUCCCGCCCCCUUAGUGCUGCAGCUAACGCAUUAAGCACUCCGCCUGGGGAGUACGGCCGCAAGGCUG